Long non-coding RNA from Passer domesticus (house sparrow), 708 nucleotides. RefSeq lists it as uncharacterized. NCBI's taxonomy places the organism in Eukaryota, Metazoa, Chordata, Aves, Passeriformes, Passeridae. The transcript is spliced from 2 exons. The record is from RefSeq and is a predicted model, not a curated record.
AAAUCAUUCAGGGCUCUUUCCCCACAAAAACACCCUUUUGGCCAUGCCAUCCAUGCCUGUCCAUGCAUCCCCAAGUCAGAGAUGUCAUCUGAGAAGCUCUACUGCCAGCCCUAGCUUGGAGGUGCCAACCAAAACAUUCUGUCACCAGCCCCAGCUUGGAGAUACUAACCAUGAAGUUCUACCACCAGCCCAGCUUGCAGAUACCAACCAAAACACUCCAUCACCAGCCCCAGUUUGGAGAUACCAACCAAAACAUUCCAUCACCAACCCCAGCUUGCAGAUACCAGCCAAGAAACUCCAUCACCAACCCUAGUUUGGAGAUACCAAUCAAAACACUCCCAUCACCAACCCCGGUUUGGAGAUACCAACAAAAACACUCCAUCACCAGCCCCAGCCUGGACACGUCAACCAAAAUGCUCCACUACCAGCCCCAGAUUUGGAACACCAGGAAGCUCCACCACCAGCUUGAGUCCAGGAGACUCAACCAAAGAGGAGAAGCCCCAGUGAAAGGACAGGUCAGAGCCACACCAGCACCCACUGAUGUCCCUUCAAGGAUGUGACCAAGGACAUGGUGCAGAAUGGUGGCAGAGAGAGAGGGUUCAACCUGCCAGGUUUAUCCUGCACCUCCUGCUCCAAAGAGAGAUUUUCAACUCAAAUUUUUUCUGGAACAAACAGCAACUCUUGAUCAAUGCACAAAUUCCAGCAAGA